Molecule: long non-coding RNA, 1784 nt
Organism: Salvia miltiorrhiza (redroot sage)
Lineage: Eukaryota; Viridiplantae; Streptophyta; Magnoliopsida; Lamiales; Lamiaceae
Exons: 5
Source: RefSeq, a predicted model, not a curated record
GGCGCCAAAUACGAAAUCUCAUGAAAAUCGUGGAAGACAACCAAGGCGUGCACAAAAUGACAACCUCGAUUCCUUUGAUGAUUUAGCUGAUACUCAAUUAGAUAAACUUAUUUCUAAAUUUAUUAAUGUUUUCUUAUUUUAUUUAACGUAUUUUCUUACUAGUUUAGAAUAUGAUCUCAUUGACGUCUGUAGGCCUAGAUCAUAUUGAAUGACUCAUCCGAUCGUGAGAUAGGUUGAAUUAAUACUUUUAUUUAUUAAAUUUUAAUGCAUCAUAUUCUUAGCAUUGUAAACCUUUAACAUUUUUUUUCUCUAGAAAAUGAUGACAUCUAUGUGGUUUUAUUAAGUGCCGUCCAUAAUAGUUAAAGGAACAUUUCAGAAAAUGUCCAAGAACGUGGUGGCAGAACAAGCGAAAAUAAUUCUAGCGAUAUCACAGUUGAGUUAGGUCAGUAAUUAUUAGUUUAUAUUAGUGAUUAAUUUAUAUUAUUGACUUAAUUAAAGGUUUAAUGAUCGAUGAUCAUGACAUAUUUUUACCGUAGAUGACGGCAAUAAGAAAAAUAGGGCAAGAGAACCAACGUGCAUGCCAAAAGUUUGGUGCCUAAAUAAAAUCUUAAUGUUUCUUUCAAUGAUCUUGGCCAACUUAAUGAUCAGAAGUAAACAAACAUGCAUGCUAGCUCAUUUUUAGGUACUACUGCAAGGAACGGAUCAUUCUGCCCACUACAUUAUAUUCAUUGAAGAUUGAAGCUAAACUGAUAUAAGGAAGACAUGUGUAGAGAAGUGAAAGUCGAGGUUUAUUAUGCGUGCUGGCAGUGACAGUUUUAUACUACAAUCAAUUAACCACAAGUGGAAGAAUGGGAAGUGUCAAUUGAAGAAUUUGAACUUAAUUUGACCCAAGUGUAUCUAUUGAAGAACAAUUGUUUAAAGUACCAUAAAGGGACCUUAGUGAAAAGAAAAAAGAAGAGCGUGCUAAGUUGGAGAUUCCUCAUCGAAUGGGAAAGAGAAGUUGUGCAGUUAUGGCCGAAAUAAUGUAUGAACAAUUGGGAAGACAUUCCAUGAGAGCAGAGUUAUUUGAAAAGUGUUGUUAUCCUCCUAAUGGUUCUGCUACGAGUGAGACCGUUCGAGAAACUAUUAAAAAGAUGAAAUAGCUAUCUAAACAAGACGAUGGAAAUUUAAGUGAUUGUGAUGUUGUGCAUGAUGUUGAUGAUGCUUUUGCAAAGAUAUUGGGCAAAGAUAAAUAUGGACGAUUGCGCAUGUAUGGCAUGGGAGUGAAGCCGAGUGAUAUCUAUGGUGGGAGACCAAGUCGUAAUGCACUUCAUAGAAAAUCUAUGAUAGACAAAGAAGAAAAUAGAGCACUUAAACAAAAAGUUGAAGAGUUGACAGCUUUGGUGUAUAGCAAAUCACACUCGGAUAGACAAAUACAAACAGAAAGAGCUCCAGUUUCUACCCACAACAAUCAUACUUCAUCUGGUAUUAGCGGUCGUCAACCUCGUAUAAGGGUAAUUACAAGAAAUAGUAUUAUUUAUUACGUAAGUGUCAUAUAUACAUAUUUUCAAUUAUGUAAUUCAAAUGCUACAAAUUUCAGGUUGAAGACUACCUGAAACUGAAAAGUCUUGUUAAUUUGAAUGAAAUUGUUGUUAUUAGCAUUGUGCAAGCAAUAGGAAAUGUUUUGUUGAAUGGUAGGGACUUUGGGCCCGGAAUUUGCGAGGUAGUGGUUCAAUCAAUUUUGAAGGAUGAAGAAAUGUUGAUUUAUUCAACAGACCUUCAUGAAACAAUUGGAGAUUCUAUUG